GAUGAACGCUGGCGGCGUGCCUAAUACAUGCAAGUCGAGCGAACAGACGAGGAGCUUGCUCCUCUGACGUUAGCGGAGGACGGGUGAGUAACACGUGGAUAACCUACCUAUAAGACUGGGAUAACUUCGGGAAACCGGAGCUAAUACGGGAUAAUAUAUUGAACCGCAUGGUGCGAUAGUGAAAGACGGUUUUGCUGUCACUUAUAGAUGGAUCCGCGCCGGAUUAGCUGGUUGGUAAGGUAACGGCUUACCAAGGCUACGAGGCGUAGGCGACGUGAGAGGGUGAUCGGCCACACUGGAACGGAGACACGGUCCAGACUCCUACGGGAGGCAGCAGUAGGGAAUCUUCCGCAAUGGGCGAAAGCCUGACGGAGCAACGCGGCGUGAGUGAUGAAGGUCUUCGGAUCGUAAAACUCUGUUAUUAGGGAAGAACAAAUGUGUAAGGAACUGUGCACGGCUUGACGGUACCUAAUCAGAAAGCCACGGCUAACUACGUG
This 497-nucleotide ribosomal RNA is filed under the name uncultured bacterium. RNAcentral describes it as "partial 16S ribosomal RNA". It matches the Rfam family "Bacterial small subunit ribosomal RNA", at positions 28 to 507 of the family's 1533-position model. The record is from RNAcentral.